Molecule: long non-coding RNA, 626 nt
Filed under: Nicotiana tabacum (common tobacco)
Lineage: Eukaryota; Viridiplantae; Streptophyta; Magnoliopsida; Solanales; Solanaceae
Description: long non-coding RNA (NTAB_LNC017911)
Source: RNAcentral
AGUUGAGGAAGGAGGAAGUGGCUUAGAUUCUGCACAUGUUCACUUAGAUUAUGCACAUGUAAGUUUAAUUUGCCUAAAAUAUACAUAGCAAAAGGCGUAAAUUCAUUUUCAACAUUCAUGUGAUGCCUUUUUUUCUUCUUUUUCCAUUUAUGUCUUUUGUUUCUUGACUAAGCCUGGGGUGCUGGAUAGUAAACUAAUGUUCUUUCAGUUCAUAGAUGAAGUUUGCCACCAGAACCUAUAUAUGGAAGCACUCCUUCCAUCUGUCGACGAAAUUGCAGGUAUUUGAUUGCCAGAGUAUAUAAUGAGAUUCUUGCAUAUGCAACUCUGGAAUUGCUUUUCAUAAUUGAGGAAGCUAAGUCCCCACAGUUCAAAUUAAAGAGUGCCUCCCUCCGCUUGUGACGAUGUAUAACUCGAGCAUUAACUCAUGCUCCAAUCUUUUCAAGGAAAAGGGCUAACCCCUCUAUGUUUAAGUUAUGCAUUGAUGGUUGUCCACUACUCAAACAGCGUCAGAGGAAUUACAAAAGAUUGCUCAAACUGCGUCAGAGGAAUUACAUUCAUGUAUAUUCUUGGAUUUCAGUCCUUUGAAGAAGCAAAGGUUCAAGUACAGUUGGUUAGAUCUCAACCCC